UACGUAGGGUGCGAGCGUUAAUCGGAAUUACUGGGCGUAAAGCGUGCGCAGGCGGAUGUUUAAGUCAGAUGUGAAAUCCCCGGGCUCAACCUGGGAAUGGCAUUUGAAACUGGGCAUCUAGAGUGCGUCAGAGGGGGGUGGAAUUCCACGUGUAGCGGUGAAAUGCGUAGAGAUGUGGAGGAACACCGAUGGCGAAGGCGGCCCCCUGGGAUGACACUGACGCUCAUGCGCGAAAGCGUGGGGAGCAAACAGGAUUAGAUACCCUGGUAGUCCACGCCCUAAACGAUGUCAACUAGUUGUUGGGGACGUAAGUUCUUAGUGACGAAGCUAACGCGUGAAGUUGCCCGCCUGGGGAGUACGGCCGCAAGGUUG
RNAcentral lists this ribosomal RNA (372 nucleotides) under uncultured prokaryote. Its description in RNAcentral is "bacterial SSU rRNA". It matches the Rfam family "Bacterial small subunit ribosomal RNA", at positions 524 to 896 of the family's 1533-position model. The record is from RNAcentral.